UACGUAGGGUGCAAGCAUUAAUCGGAUUUAUUGGGCGUAAAGGGCGCGUAGGCGGGAAAGUCAGUCAGAUGUGAAAUCCCGGAGCUCAACUCCGGAACAGCAUUUGAAACUUCUUUUCUAGAGGGUAGGCGGAGAAAACGGAAUUCCACAAGUAGCGGUGAAAUGCGUAGAUAUGUGGAAGAACACCAGUGGCGAAGGCGGUUUUCUAGCUUACACCUGACGCUGAUGCGCGAAAGCAAGGGGAGCAAACAGG
This 253-nucleotide ribosomal RNA is filed under the name uncultured bacterium. RNAcentral describes it as "partial 16S ribosomal RNA". It matches the Rfam family "Bacterial small subunit ribosomal RNA", at positions 524 to 776 of the family's 1533-position model. The record is from RNAcentral.